GACGCAUUCUGGCGGCGUGCUUAACACAUGCAAGUCGAACGGAAAGGCCCUGCUUUUGUGGGGUGCUCGAGUGGCGAACGGGUGAGUAACACGUGAGUAACCUGCCCUUGACUUUGGGAUAACUUCAGGAAACUGGGGCUAAUACCGGAUAGGAGCUCCUGCUGCAUGGUGGGGGUUGGAAAGUUUCGGCGGUUGGGGAUGGACUCGCGGCUUAUCAGCUUGUUGGUGGGGUAGUGGCUUACCAAGGCUUUGACGGGUAGCCGGCCUGAGAGGGUGACCGGCCACAUUGGGACUGAGAUACGGCCCAGACUCCUACGGGAGGCAGCAGUGGGGAAUAUUGCACAAUGGGCGGAAGCCUGAUGCAGCAACGCCGCGUGCGGGAUGACGGCCUUCGGGUUGUAAACCGCUUUCGCCUGUGACGAAGCGUGAGUGACGGUAAUGGGUAAAGAAGCACCGGCUAACUACGUGCCAGCAGCCGCGGUGAUACGUAGGGUGCGAGCGUUGUCCGGAUUUAUUGGGCGUAAAGGGCUCGUAGGUGGUUGAUCGCGUCGGAAGUGUAAUCUUGGGGCUUAACCCUGAGCGUGCUUUCGAUACGGGUUGACUUGAGGAAGGUAGGGGAGAAUGGAAUUCCUGGUGGAGCGGUGGAAUGCGCAGAUAUCAGGAGGAACACCAGUGGCGAAGGCGGUUCUCUGGGCCUUUCCUGACGCUGAGGAGCGAAAGCGUGGGGAGCGAACAGGCUUAGAUACCCUGGUAGUCCACGCUGUAAACGGUGGGUACUAGGUGUGGGGUCCAUUCCACGGGUUCCGUGCCGUAGCUAACGCUUUAAGUACCCCGCCUGGGGAGUACGGCCGCAAGGCUAAAACUCAAAGGAAUUGACGGGGCCCCGCACAAGCGGCGGAGCAUGCGGAUUAAUUCGAUGCAACGCGUAGAACCUUACCUGGGUUUGACAUGGAUCGGGAGUGCUCAGAGAUGGGUGUGCCUCUUUUGGGGUCGGUUCACAGGUGGUGCAUGGCUGUCGUCAGCUCGUGUCGUGAGAUGUUGGGUUAAGUCCCGCAACGAGCGCAACCCUUGUUCACUGUUGCCAGCACGUUAUGGUGGGGACUCAGUGGAGACCGCCGGGGUCAACUCGGAGGAAGGUGGGGAUGACGUCAAGUCAUCAUGCCCCUUAUGUCCAGGGCUUCACGCAUGCUACAAUGGCUGGUACAGAGAGUGGCGAGCCUGUGAGGGUGAGCGAAUCUCGGAAAGCCGGUCUCAGUUCGGAUUGGGGUCUGCAACUCGACCUCAUGAAGUCGGAGUCGCUAGUAAUCGCAGAUCAGCAACGCUGCGGUGAAUACGUUCCCGGGGCU
This 1346-nucleotide ribosomal RNA is filed under the name uncultured bacterium. RNAcentral's name for it is "partial 16S ribosomal RNA". It matches the Rfam family "Bacterial small subunit ribosomal RNA", at positions 28 to 1381 of the family's 1533-position model. The record is from RNAcentral.